Molecule: long non-coding RNA, 300 nt
Filed under: Elaeis guineensis (African oil palm)
Lineage: Eukaryota; Viridiplantae; Streptophyta; Magnoliopsida; Arecales; Arecaceae
Description: long non-coding RNA (EGUI_LNC068580)
Source: RNAcentral
CGAGGAGAAAGUUAGGCUCAAUCGAGUGCUAGCACGAUUUUCUUGAACCUAAUUGGAUCUUAUCCAAAUCAAUUGGACUAGCCAAUUGAUGACAUCCAGACCCUAACCCUUAUUUGUGUAACCCAGUUAGGUUCAAUUCUGUAUGGUAAUGAGAUAUGUCGUGAUCUCAUCAUCGACAUCAUCGAAACUCCUUUCGAUGAAUCAGAACUCUUCUGAUUCAGACAAUUAGAAUGAUCGAUCAUCAAAAUCAUUCUAAUUGCUCCCAAAAUCUAACAGUGACACCUAGCAGUAUAUGGUGGC